UACGGAGGGGGCUAGCGUUGUUCGGAAUUACUGGGCGUAAAGCGCGCGUAGGCGGGCUGUUAAGUCGGGGGUGAAAUCCCGGGGCUCAACCCCGGAACUGCCUUCGAUACUGGCAGCCUAGAGGACGGAAGAGGUCAGUGGAAUGGCGAGUGUAGAGGUGAAAUUCGUAGAUAUUCGCCGGCACACCAGUGGCGAAGGCGACUGACUGGUCCGUUUCUGACGCUGAGGUGCGAAAGCGUGGGGAGCAAACAGG
This 253-nucleotide ribosomal RNA is filed under the name uncultured bacterium. RNAcentral describes it as "partial 16S ribosomal RNA". It matches the Rfam family "Bacterial small subunit ribosomal RNA", at positions 524 to 776 of the family's 1533-position model. The record is from RNAcentral.